GACGAACGCUGGCGGCGUGCUUAACACAUGCAAGUCGAACGGAAAGGCCCUGCUUUUGUGGGGUGCUCGAGUGGCGAACGGGUGAGUAACACGUGAGUAACCUGCCCUUGACUUUGGGAUAACUUCAGGAAACUGGGGCUAAUACCGGAUAGGAGCUCCUGCUGCAUGGUGGGGGUUGGAAAGUUUCGGCGGUUGGGGAUGGACUCGCGGCUUAUCAGCUUGUUGGUGGGGUAGUGGCUUACCAAGGCUUUGACGGGUAGCCGGCCUGAGAGGGUGACCGGCCACAUUGGGACUGAGAUACGGCCCAGACUCCUACGGGGGGCAGCAGUGGGGAAUAUUGCACAAUGGGCGGAAGCCUGAUGCAGCAACGCCGCGUGCGGGAUGACGGCCUUCGGGUUGUAAACCGCUUUCGCCUGUGACGAAGCGUGAGUGACGGUAAUGGGUAAAGAAGCACCGGCUAACUACGUG
RNAcentral lists this ribosomal RNA (468 nucleotides) under uncultured bacterium. Its description in RNAcentral is "partial 16S ribosomal RNA". It matches the Rfam family "Bacterial small subunit ribosomal RNA", at positions 28 to 507 of the family's 1533-position model. The record is from RNAcentral.